This 570-nucleotide ribosomal RNA is filed under the name uncultured organism. Its description in RNAcentral is "bacterial SSU rRNA". It matches the Rfam family "Bacterial small subunit ribosomal RNA", at positions 817 to 1376 of the family's 1533-position model. The record is from RNAcentral.
UUGAUGUGGGGAGGAUUGUCCCUUUCCGCGUCGGAGCUAACGCGAUAAGUGCACCGCCUGGGGGAGUACGGUCGCAAGAUUAAAACUCAAAGGGAAUUGACGGGGGCCCGCACAAGCGGUGGAGCAUGUGGCUCAAUUCGAUGCAACGCGAAGAACCUUACCUGGGCUUGACAUGUGACUGCACGCCCUGCGAAAGCAGGGAAGCCUUCGAGGGUGUCACACAGGUGCUGCAUGGCUGUCGUCAGCUCGUGCCGUGAGGUGUUAGGUUAAGUCCUGCAACGAGCGCAACCCCUGUGGUUAGUUGCUAAGGCGGGUGAUGAAUCCGCCAGCACUUUAAUCAGACUGCCUGUGAAAAGCAGGAGGAAGGUGGGGAUGACGUCAAGUCAGUAUGGUCCUUAUGUCCAGGGCUGCACACGUGCUACAAUGAACGGUACAGAAGGAAGCAAAACCGCGAGGUGGAGCAAAUCCCUAAAACCGUUCUCAGUUCAGAUUGAAGGCUGCAACUCGCCUUCAUGAAGCUGGAAUCGCUAGUAAUGGCGCAUCAGCUACGGCGCCGUGAAUACGUUCCCG